AACGAACGCUGGCGGCAUGCCUAACACAUGCAAGUCGAACGAGACCUUCGGGUCUAGUGGCGCACGGGUGCGUAACGCGUGGGAACCUGCCCUUAGGUUCGGAAUAACUCCCCGAAAGGGGUUCUAAUACCGGAUAAUGUCUUCGGACCAAAGAUUUAUCGCCUUUGGAUGGGCCCGCGUUGGAUUAGCUAGUUGGUAGGGUAAAAGCCUACCAAGGCGACGAUCCAUAGCUGGUCUGAGAGGAUGAUCAGCCACACUGGGACUGAGACACGGCCCAGACUCCUACGGGAGGCAGCAGUGGGGAAUAUUGGACAAUGGGCGAAAGCCUGAUCCAGCAAUGCCGCGUGAGUGAUGAAGGCCUUAGGGUUGUAAAGCUCUUUUACCCGGGAUGAUAAUGACAGUACCGGGAGAAGAAGCUCCGGCUAACUCCGUG
RNAcentral lists this ribosomal RNA (433 nucleotides) under uncultured bacterium. RNAcentral describes it as "partial 16S ribosomal RNA". It matches the Rfam family "Bacterial small subunit ribosomal RNA", at positions 29 to 507 of the family's 1533-position model. The record is from RNAcentral.